RNAcentral lists this unclassified non-coding RNA (333 nucleotides) under soil metagenome. RNAcentral describes it as "partial contains 5.8S ribosomal RNA, internal transcribed spacer 2, and large subunit ribosomal RNA". The stretch from base 1 to 120 matches the Rfam family "5.8S ribosomal RNA", at positions 35 to 154 of the family's 154-position model. The record is from RNAcentral.
GAUGAAGAACGUAGCGAAAUGCGAUAAGUAAUGUGAAUUGCAGAAUUCAGUGAAUCAUCGAAUCUUUGAACGCACAUUGCGCCCGCCAGUAUUCUGGCGGGCAUGCCUGUCCGAGCGUCAUUUCAACCAUCAAGUCCCGGGCUUGUGUUGGGGACCUGCGUCCGACGCAGGCCCUGAAAACCAGUGGCGGGCUCGCUGUCCACACCGAGCGUAGUAACUAACCUCGCUAUGGAGUGGCGCGGGCGCCUGCCGUAAAACCCCCAAUUUUUACAAGGUUGACCUCGGAUCAGGUAGGAAUACCCGCUGAACUUAAGCAUAUCAAUAAGCGGAGGA